GUAGGGAAUAGGGUGCCAUUUGUUUCACAACCACUGGACUGGAGUGUAGAGUGUAGGGACGGCAGGUAGCCUAGUGGUUAGAGUGCAGGGACGGCAGGUAGCCUAGUGGUUAGAUUGUAGGGACGGCAGGUAGCCUAGUGGUUAGAUUGUAGGGGCGGCAGGUAGCCUAGUGGUUAGAGUGUAGGGACGGCAGGUAGCCUAGUGGUUAGAGUGUAGGGGCGGCAGGUAGCCUAGUGGUUAGAGUGUAGGGACGGCAGGUAGCCUAGUGGUUAGAGUGUAGGGGCUGCAGGUAGCCUAGUGGUUAGAGUGUAGGG
This is a long non-coding RNA of Oncorhynchus tshawytscha (Chinook salmon), 314 nucleotides long. The record is from Ensembl. Lineage: Eukaryota; Metazoa; Chordata; Actinopteri; Salmoniformes; Salmonidae.